UUUUACGACGGUUGCCACGUGUUGAAAAUCCCCUAAUUAUAUAUUUUAAAAGAUAAUACAAAGCUUUGUGGGUAAUUUAGAUUUCUUUCUGGGUAAUUAAAUGAAUUGAAAACGGCAACGCUGAUUCGUGGAGACCUAUUGAUUCAGCAAAUUUCUCUGUAAUCUAAAGCGCGCAAUGGUUCUGGUAAAUGAGUCAAGGAAGGUAUUUCGCAUUGACCUACACAGCACAAUCCUUGUGUCUCCGAAUGAGACUUUGACGCAAUAUAAUAUUCAUGGGCUCGGUUUAGUCACUGGCGGGAUGUUGUAAUUGCACACUUACGGAACUUCUCAUUUGACGGUGUAGACCGCGUUCCGUAGCUGCAUGUCCUUUUCAUUGUUCCUGAGUUCAACCAGCACGAAUCGUCAAUCGAGACUGUGUUAGCCAUUGUUUUAUAUUCUGAUCGGCCGUAUAAUGUCUCACGAACACUAAAGGCCAGUUUUCCAGUGCACGGCUUUGGUUUAAACUUAAAUUAACCGCUAGAGCUAGUCAAUUCAAACGCAGUUUACGUGAUCCUAAGUUUAAACUUGCACUGAAAAACUAACCCUAAAAGUGCAGCAUCAAAGAAUUCGCCUAACCAUAUUAGAAGCAAUCGCCAUAACCGCGAAAGAAAAUACCGCAAAGAAUUUACAAGGCAAAAAAACAAUAGAAAAACAGCUCAAAUUGGACCAUCCCUUCUCAAGAUAUACGCCGCCUGACGUACGCACAUAUAUGUAUUUGCAUACAAAUAUUUAUUUUUAGUAACAAUCAGAGUUUAUAUUAGAUGUAAAUAAGCUGGUUUUAAUUAAAUAAUUAAAGCAAAUACUACCGUA
RNAcentral lists this long non-coding RNA (849 nucleotides) under Rhagoletis pomonella (apple maggot). RNAcentral's name for it is "uncharacterized LOC118755870". The record is from RNAcentral. Lineage: Eukaryota; Metazoa; Arthropoda; Insecta; Diptera; Tephritidae.